RNAcentral lists this ribosomal RNA (625 nucleotides) under Salmonella enterica subsp. enterica serovar Enteritidis. RNAcentral describes it as "partial 23S ribosomal RNA". It matches the Rfam family "Bacterial large subunit ribosomal RNA", at positions 1 to 589 of the family's 2925-position model. Lineage: Bacteria; Pseudomonadati; Pseudomonadota; Gammaproteobacteria; Enterobacterales; Enterobacteriaceae. The record is from RNAcentral.
GGGUUGUGAGGUUAAGCGACUAAGCGUACACGGUGGAUGCCCUGGCAGUCAGAGGCGAUGAAGGGCGUGCUAAUCUGCGAUAAGCGCCGGUAAGGUGAUAUGAACCGUUAUAACCGGCGAUACCCGAAUGGGGAAACCCAGUGUGAUUCGUCACACUAUCAUUAACUGAAUCCAUAGGUUAAUGAGGCGAACCGGGGGAACUGAAACAUCUAAGUACCCCGAGGAAAAGAAAUCAACCGAGAUUCCCCCAGUAGCGGCGAGCGAACGGGGAGGAGCCCAGAGCCUGAAUCAGCAUGUGUGUUAGUGGAAGCGUCUGGAAAGGCGCGCGAUACAGGGUGACAGCCCCGUACACAAAAGCGCAUGUGCUGUGAGCUCGAUGAGUAGGGCGGGACACGUGGUAUCCUGUCUGAAUAUGGGGGGACCAUCCUCCAAGGCUAAAUACUCCUGACUGACCGAUAGUGAACCAGUACCGUGAGGGAAAGGCGAAAAGAACCCCGGCGAGGGGAGUGAAAAAGAACCUGAAACCGUGUACGUACAAGCAGUGGGAGCCCCACCACCAAAGCAUUUGCUGUACCGCGUUGACGGAGCGAAGCGACGUCAAACCGAUAAAACAGCAGUGUAAAGU